GAUGAACGCUGGCGGCGUGCCUAAUACAUGCAAGUCGAGCGAACGGACGAGAAGCUUGCUUUUCUGAUGUUAGCGGCGGACGGGUGAGUAACACGUGGAUAACCUACCUAUAAGACUGGGAUAACUUCGGGAAACCGGAGCUAAUACCGGAUAAUAUUUUGAACCGCAUGGUUCAAAAGUGAAAGACGGUCUUGCUGUCACUUAUAGAUGGAUCCGCGCUGCAUUAGCUAGUUGGUAAGGUAACGGCUUACCAAGGCAACGAUGCAUAGCCGACCUGAGAGGGUGAUCGGCCACACUGGAACUGAGACACGGUCCAGACUCCUACGGGAGGCAGCAGUAGGGAAUCUUCCGCAGUGGGCGAAAGCCUGACGGAGCAACGCCCGUGAGUGAUGAAGGUCUUCGGAUCGUAAAACUCUGUUAUUAGGGAAGAACGUAUGUGUAAGUAACUGUGCACAUCUUGACGGUACCUAAUCAGAAAGCCACGGCUAACUACGUG
Molecule: ribosomal RNA, 496 nt
Filed under: uncultured bacterium
Lineage: Bacteria
Description: partial 16S ribosomal RNA
Rfam family: Bacterial small subunit ribosomal RNA
Source: RNAcentral